GCAAAAUGUGGGCGAGUAAUUUUGUAGGACCUAUUCGUCUUAGCGCAGCUGCUUGGCAAACCGUAUAAGCCUGUGCCUUCUGAUUAAUUCUGGUUUACAUAACUGUUUCUCUGGUCCCAUUUCUUUCCUCUGACGUUUUCCAAAGGAAUUAGAUUAUCAAUUUCUGUUAGGCUAAACUGUCUGUGGGCAAGCGAUGUUAACAUGCAAACAGGUGGAU
This 217-nucleotide unclassified non-coding RNA is filed under the name Hevea brasiliensis (rubber tree). The record is from RNAcentral. Lineage: Eukaryota; Viridiplantae; Streptophyta; Magnoliopsida; Malpighiales; Euphorbiaceae.